AUCCUCCUGACGAUGAUUUUCCUCUUGCAGCAUCUCUUCUUGCUGGCCACAGACUUACUGCUCGCGACGACCCUUUCCUGCCUCUUCUAUGCCUUCGUGUGCAUUUCUAUCGCAUCUUUGGCCUGCUUCAUUAUCCUCUUCUCCUUUGGCAUUCUGGAGAGGAAUAUUGAUGUGAAAGGGAGAGCAAUUGUAAUUCUCGUGUCCAACAGCUCCAUUGGGAGGAUGUUUGCAAGGAACCUGGAUAAAGCAGGUUUCAGGGUGUCUGCUGCACACUGGCCUCCUCGAGAGGAGGGGACGGCUACGGAAGAAGAGUGCUCCUCAAGCAUGGAGGUAGCCCAGCUCCACAUGACUGAAGAUGAGUAUCAGAAGACAGUGAAAACCUUCAUAGAAAGCCACUUAUCCCUGAAAGGCAUGUAUGGGCUGAUGAAGAAGCCAUCGAUCCUGAUAUGGGAAGAAGAGGAACCAGACACACACAGCUUACCUGAGAGAAAAACCUCCUCUAAAUGGAAGAAGGUUUUCAAGGCUCCAGCCCUCUGUGCCACAGUCCUCUCCUGCCUACUGAACUGUGCCUUGACUUUCCUGAAGAGAAGCCUGCAGCUCCUUGUGCCCUCGCUGGAGUCCAAAAACUGAGAGGAAGGAAGCUCAUGGAGUGCUACACGUUAAUGCUGUCAUGCCACAAUGAAGAAAUGCCACGGGAAGGAGCAUAGCUGGGAUCAGAAGUGACAAACUCCAGGCAGGGGAGGAUUACCGGUGGUGACUUCAAUUGCAAGACAACAAGAACCUGUGGAUGAAGACAAAAAGCACCUCCUGAACCAUGAGACAGGUCUCUGAUUCCUUUGCAAGUCUGAUCUGUAAGGAAGGGAACACUGAGAUUGAAAUACUGGGAUGUGCACAGAGGAAAAACCCAAACAUCCAAGGUGAAAGGAAAUAAAGGAAAAACUCUGCUGGGAAGGAAAA
RNAcentral lists this long non-coding RNA (957 nucleotides) under Strigops habroptila (Kakapo). RNAcentral describes it as "lncRNA (ENSSHBG00005015887.1)". Lineage: Eukaryota; Metazoa; Chordata; Aves; Psittaciformes; Psittacidae. The record is from RNAcentral.